Molecule: long non-coding RNA, 291 nt
Filed under: Nicotiana benthamiana
Lineage: Eukaryota; Viridiplantae; Streptophyta; Magnoliopsida; Solanales; Solanaceae
Description: long non-coding RNA (NBEN_LNC024033)
Source: RNAcentral
GUUGCAAGUCUUCCGACGAUAUCCAUUUCAGUGUUGUUGGAAUAAGUGUUACUUAAAGUAUUUCUUUUUGACUUCUACGUCUCUCUUUGAAAAUAUAGACUGAAAGAAGCUUCUAUUUAUAGGCCUUGAAUAAGUGUUACUUAAAGUAUUUCUUUUUGACUUCUACGUCUCUCUUUGAAAAUAUAGAUUGAAAGAAGCUUCUAUUUAUAGGCCUUGGAGGCGCUUAACUUUUUCUUAUUAUUAGAAAUAAUUGUUGUCUUUGUUUCAUAACAUGUUUCAACCCCGACUUUU